UACGUAGGGUGCGAGCGUUGUCCGGAAUUAUUGGGCGUAAAGAGCUCGUAGGCGGUUUGUCGCGUCUGCUGUGAAAUCUGGGGGCUCAACCCCCAGCCUGCAGUGGGUACGGGCAGACUAGAGUGCGGUAGGGGAGAUUUGGAAUUCCUGGUGUAGCGGUGGAAUGCGCAGGAUAUCAGGAGGAACACCGAUGGCGAAGGCAGAUCUCUGGGACCGUAACUGACGCUGAGGAGCGAAAGCAUGGGAGCGAACAGGAUAGAUACC
RNAcentral lists this ribosomal RNA (264 nucleotides) under uncultured bacterium. RNAcentral's name for it is "partial 16S ribosomal RNA". It matches the Rfam family "Bacterial small subunit ribosomal RNA", at positions 524 to 786 of the family's 1533-position model. The record is from RNAcentral.